AUGUUGCUCUCGGCCUCAGUGAACUCCAUCUCGUCCAUCCCCUCACCAGUGUACCAAUGCAAGAAAGCCUUCCUCCUGAACAUGGCCGUGAACUGCUCGCUCACACGCCGGAACAUCUCCUGGAUGGAGGUGGAGUUGCCGAUGAAGGUGGACGCCAUGGAGAGGCCGCGUGGUGGGAUGUCACACACGCUUGACUUGACGUUGUUGGGGAUCCACUCCACGAAGUAG
Molecule: ribosomal RNA, 228 nt
Filed under: Triticum aestivum (bread wheat)
Lineage: Eukaryota; Viridiplantae; Streptophyta; Magnoliopsida; Poales; Poaceae
Description: partial small subunit ribosomal RNA
Source: RNAcentral